Molecule: ribosomal RNA, 734 nt
Filed under: uncultured Enterococcus sp.
Lineage: Bacteria; Bacillati; Bacillota; Bacilli; Lactobacillales; Enterococcaceae
Description: bacterial SSU rRNA
Rfam family: Bacterial small subunit ribosomal RNA
Source: RNAcentral
CAGGACGAACGCUGGCGGCGUGCCUAAUACAUGCAAGUCGAACGCUUCUUUCCUCCCGAGUGCUUGCACUCAAUUGGAAAGAGGAGUGGCGGACGGGUGAGUAACACGUGGGUAACCUACCCAUCAGAGGGGGAUAACACUUGGAAACAGGUGCUAAUACCGCAUAACAGUUUAUGCCGCAUGGCAUAAGAGUGAAAGGCGCUUUCGGGUGUCGCUGAUGGAUGGACCCGCGGUGCAUUAGCUAGUUGGUGAGGUAACGGCUCACCAAGGCCACGAUGCAUAGCCGACCUGAGAGGGUGAUCGGCCACACUGGGACUGAGACACGGCCCAGACUCCUACGGGAGGCAGCAGUAGGGAAUCUUCGGCAAUGGACGAAAGUCUGACCGAGCAACGCCGCGUGAGUGAAGAAGGUUUUCGGAUCGUAAAACUCUGUUGUUAGAGAAGAACAAGGACGUUAGUAACUGAACGUCCCCUGACGGUAUCUAACCAGAAAGCCACGGCUAACUACGUGCCAGCAGCCGCGGUAAUACGUAGGUGGCAAGCGUUGUCCGGAUUUAUUGGGCGUAAAGCGAGCGCAGGCGGUUUCUUAAGUCUGAUGUGAAAGCCCCCGGCUCAACCGGGGAGGGUCAUUGGAAACUGGGAGACUUGAGUGCAGAAGAGGAGAGUGGAAUUCCAUGUGUAGCGGUGAAAUGCGUAUAUAUAUGGAGGAACACCAGUGGCGAAGGCGGCUCUCU